This 267-nucleotide unclassified non-coding RNA is filed under the name Hevea brasiliensis (rubber tree). Lineage: Eukaryota; Viridiplantae; Streptophyta; Magnoliopsida; Malpighiales; Euphorbiaceae. The record is from RNAcentral.
GUCUAUCUUAAGCCCUAACCUUGAUGUUGGUUUUAUACUUAGUAAUUAAAACUAUGGCCAGUAAGCAUACAAGGUGUCUGGUUUGGCGAUUAAAAAGUAGAUUGUUUUAAUGAUUUAAGCCAUAUAACUUUAUCAGAGUACAGAAAAAUGUUCACCUGAAUAUUUGAUAAUUCAAAGCAUAUGCAAUUCUUAGUAAUGUUAAAAAGAAACAUCAUGCAAAUUUGAGAUUGAAGGAUAAACUUGGGCAAAUUUGCAACUCUUCUUAUU